CCUACGGGAGGCAGCAGUGAGGAAUAUUGGUCAAUGGCCGGAAGGCUGAACCAGCCAUGCCGCGUGAAGGGCAGGGACCUAGGGGCGGUAAACUUCUUUUGUGCGGGAGCAAGAAUGGUCACGUGUGGCCAGACGAGAGUACCGUACGAAUAAGCAGCGGCUAACUCCGUGCCAGCAGUCGCGGUAAUACGGGGGAUGCAAGCGUUAGCCGGAUUUCUUGGGGUUAAAGGGUGCGUCGGCUGUGAGGUAAGUCAGCGGUGAAAUGCCCCCGCUCAACGGGGUGAAGUGCCAUUGAUACUGCCUUGCUGGACUGCGGAUGCCGUGGGAGGAAUGUGUGGUGUAGCGGU
RNAcentral lists this ribosomal RNA (347 nucleotides) under uncultured bacterium. RNAcentral's name for it is "partial 16S ribosomal RNA". It matches the Rfam family "Bacterial small subunit ribosomal RNA", at positions 338 to 682 of the family's 1533-position model. The record is from RNAcentral.